UACAGAGGUCUCAAGCGUUGUUCGGAUUCAUUGGGCGUAAAGGGUGCGUAGGUGGCGCGUUAAGUCAGGUGUGAAAUUUCGGAGCUUAACUCCGAAACUGCAUUUGAUACUGGCGUGCUUGAGGACUGGAGAGGAGACUGGAAUUCAUGGUGUAGCAGUGAAAUGCGUAGAGAUCAUGAGGAAGACCAGUGGCGAAGGCGGGUCUCUGGACAGUUCCUGACACUGAGGCACGAAGGCCAGGGGAGCAAAUGGG
Molecule: ribosomal RNA, 253 nt
Filed under: uncultured bacterium
Lineage: Bacteria
Description: partial 16S ribosomal RNA
Rfam family: Bacterial small subunit ribosomal RNA
Source: RNAcentral